UGCGUAGGUGGUUUCUUAAGUCAGAGGUGAAAGGCUACGGCUCAACCGUAGUAAGCCUUUGAAACUGGGAAACUUGAGUGCAGGAGAGGAGAGUGGAAUUCCUAGUGUAGCGGUGAAAUGCGUAGAUAUUAGGAGGAACACCAGUGGCGAAGGCGGCUGUCUGGUCUGUAACUGACGCUGAGGCUCGAAAGCAUGGGUAGCGAACA
RNAcentral lists this ribosomal RNA (206 nucleotides) under uncultured bacterium. RNAcentral's name for it is "partial 16S ribosomal RNA". It matches the Rfam family "Bacterial small subunit ribosomal RNA", at positions 568 to 774 of the family's 1533-position model. The record is from RNAcentral.